RNAcentral lists this small RNA (325 nucleotides) under Pongo abelii (Sumatran orangutan). RNAcentral describes it as "processed transcript". The record is from RNAcentral. Lineage: Eukaryota; Metazoa; Chordata; Mammalia; Primates; Hominidae.
GGCUGGAGAACUAAGCAGUGCCUUGCUAAGAAGCCUGCAUUUUAACCUGAAGGGACAUGGGAGCUACUUCAGGCUGCACCUCUGGACCUGCAGCACCGGCUCUUCAUGAAGCUGGGCAGCACGCACUCUCCGUUCAGGGCCCGCUCAGAACCUGAGGACCCAGCCACGGAGCGAUCAGCCUUCACGGAGCGGGAUGCUGGGAGCGGGCUGGUGACAUGUCUCCGUGAGCGGCCAGCCCUGCUGGUCAGCAGCACGAGCUGGACAGAAUUUGAGCAACUGACUCUUGAUGGACACAACCUUCCUUCUCUCGUCUGUGUGAUAACAG